Molecule: long non-coding RNA, 318 nt
Organism: Schistocerca americana (American grasshopper)
Lineage: Eukaryota; Metazoa; Arthropoda; Insecta; Orthoptera; Acrididae
Exons: 6
Source: RefSeq, a predicted model, not a curated record
AGGUGAUAGCAUGUGGUGAGCUCGCUUCCAGAUCUGUGUUUACAAUAGCGCCGGUGGCAACGCCCUGAGAUGUCUGCUGGCCUAUCCCAGAGUGCUUGAACAGAGGUGCGGAAUCUGAAACCGUGGCAGUCGAUUCACAGGGUAAACGUCUGAGCGUUCUUCAGGAUCACAUUCCGCAGUUCGUUCCUUCAGACAUCAGUCAAGAAGCGGGUGGUUUUUGGACGAGGAGACCUCUGUUGUGUAUUAAGGAAUGCUAUGGAGGAUACAUGGACUUGGACGUAACUCGCCUCAGCGACCAACAGGCGACAUACUUUGAGG